Molecule: long non-coding RNA, 350 nt
Organism: Xenia sp. Carnegie-2017
Lineage: Eukaryota; Metazoa; Cnidaria; Anthozoa; Malacalcyonacea; Xeniidae
Exons: 3
Source: RefSeq, a predicted model, not a curated record
GAAAGAUGACGCGAAUGUACAAAAAUGAAUGACGGUAUGGACUUUCGGUAAGAAUGCCGAUUCAGGGGCUGAUCUAAAGGAACAAAUCCGAAAGAUGAGAUGGCUAACCACAAAAACGUGCAUGACGAAAGAAUUCCUAUAGAAAGUGAUGUAUUUUUGAUAGUUUCAAUGCUUAGCCCAUGUGUGCAUAAAGUAUUGCCAGUUAUGUGCAAAAUAAAAUAUUACGUACAUAUCUGUUCAUAGCUAAACGUUUUCUGCACCAGUAGAAUUAGCUUAGUGAGCAGGCAUUGAAAUUUUUACUAGGGAUUGAUGCCAAAGUCCUCUUUUUAAUAAACCCUGUAUAUUCUUUA